RNAcentral lists this ribosomal RNA (952 nucleotides) under uncultured bacterium. RNAcentral describes it as "bacterial SSU rRNA". It matches the Rfam family "Bacterial small subunit ribosomal RNA", at positions 1 to 937 of the family's 1533-position model. The record is from RNAcentral.
UAGAGUUUGAUCCUGGCUCAGGACGAACGCUGGCGGCGUGCCUAAUACAUGCAAGUAGAACGCUGAAGAGAGGAGCUUGCUCUUCUUGGAUGAGUUGCGAACGGGUGAGUAACGCGUAGGUAACCUGCCUUGUAGCGGGGGAUAACUAUUGGAAACGAUAGCUAAUACCGCAUAACAAUGGAUGACACAUGUCAUUUAUUUGAAAGGGGCAAUUGCUCCACUACAAGAUGGACCUGCGUUGUAUUAGCUAGUAGGUGAGGUAAUGGCUCACCUAGGCGACGAUACAUAGCCGACCUGAGAGGGUGAUCGGCCACACUGGGACUGAGACACGGCCCAGACUCCUACGGGAGGCAGCAGUAGGGAAUCUUCGGCAAUGGGGGCAACCCUGACCGAGCAACGCCGCGUGAGUGAAGAAGGUUUUCGGAUCGUAAAGCUCUGUUGUAAGUCAAGAACGGGUGUGAGAGUGGAAAGUUCACACUGUGACGGUAGCUUACCAGAAAGGGACGGCUAACUACGUGCCAGCAGCCGCGGUAAUACGUAGGUCCCGAGCGUUGUCCGGAUUUAUUGGGCGUAAAGCGAGCGCAGGCGGUUUGAUAAGUCUGAAGUUAAAGGCUGUGGCUCAACCAUAGUUCGCUUUGGAAACUGUCAAACUUGAGUGCAGAAGGGGAGAGUGGAAUUCCAUGUGUAGCGGUGAAAUGCGUAGAUAUAUGGAGGAACCACCCGGUGGCGAAAAGCGGCUCUCUGGUCUGUAANCUGACGCUGAGGCUCGAAAGCGUGGGGAGCGAACAGGAUUAGAUACCCUGGUAGUCCACGCCGUAAACGAUGAGUGCUAGGUGUUGGAUCCUUUCCGGGAUUCAGUGCCGAAGCUAACGCAUUAAGCACUCCGCCUGGGGAGUACGACCGCAAGGUUGAAACUCAAAGGAAUUGACGGGGGCCCGCACAAGCGGUGGAA